GCCAGACUCCUACGGGAGGCAGCAGUGGGGAAUAUUGCACAAUGGGGGAAACCCUGAUGCAGCGACGCCGCGUGAGCGAUGAAGUAUUUCGGUAUGUAAAGCUCUAUCAGCAGGGAAGAAAAUGACGGUACCUGACUAAGAAGCCCCGGCUAACUACGUGCCAGCAGCCGCGGUAAUACGUAGGGGGCAAGCGUUAUCCGGAUUUACUGGGUGUAAAGGGAGCGUAGACGGCUGUGCAAGCCAGAUGUGAAAGCCCGGGGCUCAACCCCGGGAGUGCAUUUGAAACUGUCCAGCUGGAGUGCAGGAGGGGUAAGCGGAAUUCCUAGUGUAGCGGUGAAAUGCGUAGAUAUUAGGAGGAACACCAGUGGCGAAGGCGGCUUACUGGACUGUAACUGACGUUGAGGCUCGAAAGCGUGGGGAGCAAACAGGAUUAGAUACCCCAGUACU
This 447-nucleotide ribosomal RNA is filed under the name uncultured bacterium. RNAcentral's name for it is "bacterial SSU rRNA". It matches the Rfam family "Bacterial small subunit ribosomal RNA", at positions 330 to 794 of the family's 1533-position model. The record is from RNAcentral.